RNAcentral lists this ribosomal RNA (467 nucleotides) under uncultured bacterium. RNAcentral's name for it is "partial 16S ribosomal RNA". It matches the Rfam family "Bacterial small subunit ribosomal RNA", at positions 28 to 507 of the family's 1533-position model. The record is from RNAcentral.
GAUGAACGCUGGCGGCGUGCUUAACACAUGCAAGUCGAACGGAAAGGCUCCUGCUUGCAGGGGUACUCGAGUGGCGAACGGGUGAGUAACACGUGGGUGAUCUGCCCUGCACUUCGGGAUAAGCCUGGGAAACUGGGUCUAAUACCGGAUAGGACCACAUUUUGGAUGGUGUGGUGGAAAGUUUUUCGGUGUGGGAUGAGCUCGCGGCCUAUCAGCUUGUUGGUGGGGUAAUGGCCUACCAAGGCGUCGACGGGUAGCCGGCCUGAGAGGGUGUACGGCCACAUUGGGACUGAGAUACGGCCCAGACUCCUACGGGAGGCAGCAGUGGGGAAUAUUGCACAAUGGGCGCAAGCCUGAUGCAGCGACGACGCGUGGGGGAUGACGGCCUUCGGGUUGUAAACUCCUUUCGCUAGGGACGAAGCGUUUUUGUGACGGUACCUGGAGAAGAAGCACCGGCUAACUACGUG